Molecule: ribosomal RNA, 50 nt
Filed under: Candidatus Rickettsia tarasevichiae
Lineage: Bacteria; Pseudomonadati; Pseudomonadota; Alphaproteobacteria; Rickettsiales; Rickettsiaceae
Description: partial 23S ribosomal RNA
Source: RNAcentral
CAGUAAUGUGUGUAGCUAACCGAUACUAAUAGCUCGAUUGAUUUACUUUG